Molecule: unclassified non-coding RNA, 571 nt
Filed under: Hevea brasiliensis (rubber tree)
Lineage: Eukaryota; Viridiplantae; Streptophyta; Magnoliopsida; Malpighiales; Euphorbiaceae
Source: RNAcentral
GAAAAAUAUGUAUAAAAUUUGUUCUUUAAUUCGAUUUUGAUUUGGUAUGGCUUCAGUUUGAUUCUUAGCGAAGAACCAUAACCAAAUCAAAACAGUAAAAUUAAAAUAAGUUCUUAUUGAUACAGUACAACUCUUCAGUUUAGAACCCCCCAACAUGCUUCAAGAAUGCAAAUCGAAAAGGCUCAACUUGAAUGAAAAAAUUCUUGUCAAAAUCUUAGUAGCUCUCCAAUUUACAAAUUUAGGUGACAAAACCUCAAUGGGGACCAAUAUUAGCAUCCCCUUACCAUAUCCAAAAACACGCGUGCACACUUGUAUUUGGAUAUGUUAAAGAGUCUUCAAACGAAGUGAUAGUCUAUGAAAUCCAGCUCCACCAAACUCACUACUCCAGGUGUUUGACUUAGAUUAAGAAAAUCAACUUAUAGUGCUCAUAAGUUAAUUUGGACUUAUAUGCAUUUAAAAUUCUAAGUAGUUAAGUAUUUAAUUAAAGUGCUUAUAAGUGACUGAUAAGCAUUUAAUGUGUUUGGUAAAAAAAAGAAAAGAAAAAAAAAGCUUAUAAGCACAUUUAUUAUUA